CAGUAGCCGCGGUAAUACGUAGGUCCCGAGCGUUGUCCGGAUUUAUUGGGCGUAAAGCGAGCGCAGGCGGUUAGAUAAGUCUGAAGUUAAAGGCUGUGGCUUAACCAUAGUACGCUUUGGAAACUGUUUAACUUGAGUGCAAGAGGGGAGAGUGGAAUUCCAUGUGUAGCGGUGAAAUACGUAGAUAUAUGGAGGAACACCGGUGGCGAAAGCGGCUCUCUGGCUUGUAACUGACGCUGAGGCUCGAAAGCGUGGGGAGCAAACAGGAUUAGAUACCCCGGUAGUCCCUGUCUCUUAUACA
RNAcentral lists this ribosomal RNA (301 nucleotides) under uncultured bacterium. RNAcentral's name for it is "partial 16S ribosomal RNA". It matches the Rfam family "Bacterial small subunit ribosomal RNA", at positions 509 to 808 of the family's 1533-position model. The record is from RNAcentral.